GACUGAUUGCUUGCGUUUUCUGGAAAAAAGAAAGAGAGAACACAAACAAUGAAUAAAAUGCAAGGCGCAACUUCGCGAGGCCGAUAUGAUAAGCCUAACCAGGUGUCAUUAUUUCCUUGGUCAUCUUGUGGCCAUUAAUAUCCCAUCUCCCAAACUAACACUGUUCUUUAACGCACAUACACCCACACAAAAUGGCAGGCUUUAAUGUUUAGUCUCUAGUUCACGUGAAAAACAGGUUGCAUUUGGAUACACACGGCAGAUUCAAUUUUGGUAUCAUCAUGUCACAUCUAUAAGUAUAUACGACGCAUAUGUCUAUACCUCCCAAACCAAACUGAGAUGAGUUUUGGAGUUCGUCUUCUUUUGUUUCUCAUACUAACCCUUCCACUUGUUACAUCCUCUGGCCGCAACACUCCUUCUGUUUCAGGAAUUGGGAAGACAGGGGUAGCAAAAAGAUUAUUGAUGGUGAGCAUCGAGGAUUAUGGUGAUCCAUCUGCAAACACCAGACACGAUCCCAGCGUUCCAACCAAUGCAAAGGCUGACACAACACCUUAAAAAAGUCGUUGACUUUACUUGUGUACUCUAUGUUUUUUUUGGGGGGGUAAAAUUGUGUACUCUAUGUUGAAUAUAUAUGUAAUAAUAUCUGCUUUGAGCGAGUUGAAUUACUGUCAUCUGAGUAGAAAACAUGCAAAAUCUUGUGAAAACCAUGUAAGAUAUGUAUCAAUCCAACACUUUGGGGACAAUAAGGCACGGUUUUGGUGUCAACAUAAA
RNA transcript from Brassica rapa (field mustard), 768 nucleotides. It is a transcript of the gene named protein PSY2, with no coding region annotated. NCBI's taxonomy places the organism in Eukaryota, Viridiplantae, Streptophyta, Magnoliopsida, Brassicales, Brassicaceae. The record is from RefSeq and is a predicted model, not a curated record.